Molecule: unclassified non-coding RNA, 239 nt
Filed under: uncultured fungus
Lineage: Eukaryota; Fungi
Description: sequence contains ITS1
Source: RNAcentral
AUAUUAAUUUUUUAUGCGUUUCCGCAGAUGACAUUCUGAAUACUAUGAGUGUGUAAUAAAUAGACCGGCCAUCCGAACCCCAUAGCCCCGAGAGGCACGUAAACGGGGGGAACAGAAUCAAAUCCGAGUCUCUAAAGGUGCACGAUGGGUGUGAAUGAAUUGAAGAGGCGUGCACUUGUGAGAACCAGCACAACCUCGAUGAUUCGUUAAUGAUCCUUCCGCAGGUUCACCUACGGAAA